CCUACGGGUGGCAGCAGUGAGGAAUAUUGGUCAAUGGACGGAAGUCUGAACCAGCCAAGUAGCGUGCAGGAUGACGGCCCUACGGGUUGUAAACUGCUUUUAUACGGGAAUAACGCGCCUUACGUGUAGGGUUUUGCAUGUACCGUAUGAAUAAGGACCGGCUAAUUCCGUGCCAGCAGCCGCGGUAAUACGGAAGGUCCGGGCGUUAUCCGGAUUUAUUGGGUUUAAAGGGGGCGUAGGCCGCAUGUCAAGCGUGCUGUGAAAGGUCCGGGCUCAACCCGGGCCUUGCAGUGCAAACUGGCGUGCGUGAGUCGGAGGGAAGCAGGCGGAAUUCGUGGUGUAGCGGUGAAAUGCUUAGAUAUGACGAAGAACUCCGAUUGCGAAGGCAGCUUGCUGCAGCGGAACUGACGCUGAUGCUCGAAAGCGCGGGUAUCGAACAGGAUUAGAUACCCUAGUAGUC
Molecule: ribosomal RNA, 460 nt
Filed under: uncultured bacterium
Lineage: Bacteria
Description: partial 16S ribosomal RNA
Rfam family: Bacterial small subunit ribosomal RNA
Source: RNAcentral